This is a long non-coding RNA of Limulus polyphemus (Atlantic horseshoe crab), 513 nucleotides long. RefSeq lists it as uncharacterized. The transcript is spliced from 2 exons. The record is from RefSeq and is a predicted model, not a curated record. Lineage: Eukaryota; Metazoa; Arthropoda; Merostomata; Xiphosura; Limulidae.
UUUAUAAUAGUCGUUCCAAGUCCCUUGAGGGCGUAUAACGUCAGUGACGGAAGAUGAAAGUGUGAACCGGUACAGGAAGUGGAAUGUUAAGGUUAUUUUAAGAAAGAUUAAUGUUUACAUUUGUAAACAAAGAAUCAACAUUGAUCGUUUUAUCUUCAUUUAUGUUAGACUUUAUUGUCAAAAUCUAUGUUAUUUAGAAUGUGUUACAUUGAGAACUUAUAUAGAGCAGGAGAUAGGUGUUGUGUCAGCCACUUGGAUAAGUAACUGAAUCCUAUUUGGAAAUUAUAGGUCUAAGUGGGCAGUCAUCUUUGUGGGUUUUAAAUAUUCCAUACUUUUAUGACAGAGAAGGAUUGAUCCCUUCAAAGAUUUUUUAAAAGAUCUGGAUAAUCAGAUAAAUGUUUUUGGAGAGACUUGUUGAAAUCAGACGUUUUCUUGGGUAAUGACUAAAGAUCUUCUUGUUCUAGGUCCAGUAGGUGGAAACUUCUGUACUGGAUUUGACUUAAAACUUUGCAA